RNAcentral lists this ribosomal RNA (380 nucleotides) under uncultured eukaryote. RNAcentral describes it as "partial 18S ribosomal RNA". It matches the Rfam family "Eukaryotic small subunit ribosomal RNA", at positions 592 to 976 of the family's 1831-position model. The record is from RNAcentral.
CAAUAGCGUAUAUUAAAGUUGUUGCGGUUAAAAAGCUCGUAGUUGGAUUUCUGCCGAGGACGACCGGUCCGCCCUCUGGGUGUGUAUCUGGUUUGGCCUGGGCAUCUUCUUGGAGAACGUAGCUGCACUUGACUGUGUGGUGCGGUGUCCAGGACUUUUACUUUGAGGAAAUUAGAGUGUUUCAAGCAGGCACACGCUUUGAAUACAUUAGCAUGGAAUAAUAAGAUAGGACCUCGGUUCUAUUUUGUUGGUUUCUAGAGCUGAGGUAAUGAUUAAUAGGGAUAGUUGGGGGCAUUCGUAUUUAACUGUCAGACGUGAAAUUCUUGGAUUUGUUAAAGACGGACUACUGCGAAAGCAUUUGCCAAGAAUGUUUUCAUUGA